Molecule: ribosomal RNA, 591 nt
Filed under: Triticum aestivum (bread wheat)
Lineage: Eukaryota; Viridiplantae; Streptophyta; Magnoliopsida; Poales; Poaceae
Description: partial small subunit ribosomal RNA
Source: RNAcentral
AUGGCCCCGCCUUCUCCCCCCGCCCACGCGGCCCGGCGCGUGCCGCCCCCGUGCUGGACCCCCGAGGAGACCGUCGCGCUCGCGCGCGCCUACACCGCGCGCCGCCUCGCCGUCGGCCGCGCCCACCUCUCCUCCGCCGACUGGGCCGCCGUCGCCGCGGCCGCCACCCCGUCCAAGACCGCCAGGCAGUGCCGCCACAAGGUCGAGAAGCUCCGCCGCCGCCUCCGCUCCAAGCGCCGCCGCCCCUGCCCCAUCCUGGACGGCAUAGAUCUGCUCGACGACCCUUCGUCGUCCCCCUCCCGCUCCCACUCCCCGUCCCCGCCGCCGCCCGCCUCCCCGCUUCCCCCCUCUCCCUCCCCACCCAAGAAGAGGAAGCGGCCCGAUCCCGAUGAAGAAGGGUAUGCCGGGGAGAGCGACGUGGUGCAGGCGGUGAGGGCGAUCGGAGAGGGAUUCGUGCGCGCCGAGCUGAGGAGGAUGGAGGCGGCGAGGGAGUCGCAGCGGAUGCGCAUGGAGAUGGCGCUGCGGCACCUCGACGCGCAGCAACGGCUCCUGGAAGGCCUCGUUGGCCGCAUCGUCGACGCGUUGGAAUGA